Violaceomyces palustris is the source of this 93-nucleotide non-coding RNA. The record is from the annotation of a GenBank genome assembly. Lineage: Eukaryota; Fungi; Basidiomycota; Ustilaginomycetes; Violaceomycetales; Violaceomycetaceae.
GCCCUGCUAGCUCAGUGGUAGAGCGUAUCUCUCCUACUAAUACGUCUUGUAGGAUUCAAGAUGAAGUCGUGGGUUCGACCCCCACGUGGGGCU